This 384-nucleotide ribosomal RNA is filed under the name Candidatus Bipolaricaulota bacterium. RNAcentral describes it as "partial 23S ribosomal RNA". It matches the Rfam family "Bacterial large subunit ribosomal RNA", at positions 2529 to 2925 of the family's 2925-position model. The record is from RNAcentral. Lineage: Bacteria; Candidatus Bipolaricaulota.
AUGUCGGCUCACCCCAUCCUGGGGCUGUAUCAGGUCCCAAGGGUCGGUCUGUUCGCCCGUUAAAGGGGUUCAUGAGCUGGGUUCAAACCGUCGUGAGACAGGUUGGUCCCUAUCUACCGUGGGCGUAGGAGGCUUGAGGGGGUCCGCUCUCAGUACGAGAGGACCGGAGCGGCUGGGCCGCUGGCGUACCAGUUGUCCUACCCAGGGCAUCGCUGGGUAACUAAGCCCAGACCGGAUAAGAGCUGAAGGCAUCUAAGCUCGAAGCUGACCCCAAGAUGAGGCCUCCCCAUGUAAGGGCCCUUCGAGACCAGGAGGUUGAUAGGCCGCAGGUGAAAGCCCGGUAACGGGUGGAGCCGAGCGGUACUAAUCGCCCGAUUGGCUUAU